RNAcentral lists this ribosomal RNA (253 nucleotides) under uncultured bacterium. RNAcentral describes it as "partial 16S ribosomal RNA". It matches the Rfam family "Bacterial small subunit ribosomal RNA", at positions 524 to 776 of the family's 1533-position model. The record is from RNAcentral.
UACGUAGGGUGCAAGCGUUGUCCGGAAUUAUUGGGCGUAAAGAGCUCGUAGGCGGUUCGUCGCGUCGGCUGUGAAAACCCGGAGCUCAACUCCGGGCCUGCAGUCGAUACGGGCGGACUAGAGUUCGGCAGGGGAGACUGGAAUUCCUGGUGUAGCGGUGAAAUGCGCAGAUAUCAGGAGGAACACCGGUGGCGAAGGCGGGUCUCUGGGCCGAUACUGACGCUGAGAAGCGAAAGCAUGGGGAGCGAACAGG